UUUCUUUCUCUUGUCAGAUUGCUAUGGCUAGGACUUCCAAUGCUAUGUUAAAUAGAAGUGGUGAGAUUGGGCAUCUUUGUCUUCUUCCUGAAUUUAGAGAAAGACUGUCAACUUUUCACUGCUGACUAUGAGGACAAGAGCAAAGACCACCCUCUGCAGAAACUUAGGAAUUAUGUACAGAAUUUUACAGGACAGAGGACAACACUUUAGCUGAAGCCUGUCUGCUGACCAGAGAAGGGUGUUCUGAGUGGACUCAGCAAAGAAAAGGAAAUCAGGCAGGGAAGGAUGUGAUGGCUGGAGCUUGAGCAGCCUGCUUGAUGGUAGAAGCUGCAUCUUCAGGAUGGUGAAGCCACAAGAUAGAAGGAGCCUGUGUCCAUGAUGAUGAGAGAGCCACCAUAUCAACCCUACACUGCCUACACAUACAUGAGAGGGAUACACUUUAUUUUGUUUAAGUUAGCGUUAUUUUGAGUUUUUAACUGCAACAGAAACCAAUCUUUCCAUUAAAAUAUGUUACUUAGGAAAAUUUUCUGGUGGCCAAUAACAGGAAUCCAUUCAAAGAAGAAUGGGGGAAUUAUUUUAAGGAUAUAGGAUUGUUUUCAGAACCCAUGGGCAGGGAUGAAAGAAGACUCAGGAAUAGACCUGAACCUGGGACUGAAACAUUGUGGGGAAGCUAGGAGGUCUUCUCGUUGUGUCUCAUCUCUCCUUCUCUUCCCUCUUACUGCAGAUUAUUUAUGUACCUGGUGUAGAGAAGCAGUAAAUAAAUAUUUGUUUAACGGAUGGCAA
Long non-coding RNA from Aethalodelphis obliquidens (Pacific white-sided dolphin), 783 nucleotides. RefSeq lists it as uncharacterized. Lineage: Eukaryota; Metazoa; Chordata; Mammalia; Artiodactyla; Delphinidae. The record is from RefSeq and is a predicted model, not a curated record. The transcript is spliced from 3 exons.